UAGUCCACGCCGUAAACGAUGUCUACUAGCCGUUGGGAGACUUGAUUUCUUGGUGGCGCAGUUAACGCGAUAAGUGGACCGCCUGGGGAGUACGGCCGCAAGGUUAAAACUCAAAUGAAUUGACGGGGGCCCGCACAAGCGGUGGAGCAUGUGGUUUAAUUCGAUGCAACGCGAAGAACCUUACCAGGCCUUGACAUCCUAGGAAUCCUGUAGAGAUACGGGAGUGACCUUCGGGAAUCUAGUGACAGGUGCUGCAUGGCUGUCGUCAGCUCGUGUCGUGAGAUGUUGGGUUAAGUCCCGCAACGAGCGCAACCCUUAUUUCUAGUUGCCAUUUGGAACUCUAGAAAGACUGUCGGUUAUAAACCGGAGGAAGGCGGGGAUGACAUCAAGUCAGCAUGCCCCUUAUGCCCUGGGCUACACACGUGCUACAAUGGACGAGACAAUGAGUUACAAAUCUGCGAAGAUAAGUUAAUCUAUAAACUCGUUACUAAGUUCGGAUUGUAGGCUGCAACUCG
This 515-nucleotide ribosomal RNA is filed under the name uncultured bacterium. RNAcentral describes it as "bacterial SSU rRNA". It matches the Rfam family "Bacterial small subunit ribosomal RNA", at positions 791 to 1314 of the family's 1533-position model. The record is from RNAcentral.